GCGGAAGUGGCGGAAUUGGUAGACGCGCUUCGGAUGUGAGAGUUCAAGUCUCUCCUUCCGCACCA
RNAcentral lists this transfer RNA (65 nucleotides) under Pseudoalteromonas luteoviolacea CPMOR-2. RNAcentral's name for it is "tRNA-Leu". It matches the Rfam family "tRNA". From Rfam's summary of the family: Transfer RNA (tRNA) molecules are approximately 80 nucleotides in length. Their secondary structure includes four short double-helical elements and three loops (D, anti-codon, and T loops). Lineage: Bacteria; Pseudomonadati; Pseudomonadota; Gammaproteobacteria; Alteromonadales; Pseudoalteromonadaceae. The record is from RNAcentral.